This is a long non-coding RNA of Oncorhynchus tshawytscha (Chinook salmon), 574 nucleotides long. The record is from Ensembl. NCBI's taxonomy places the organism in Eukaryota, Metazoa, Chordata, Actinopteri, Salmoniformes, Salmonidae.
CCUACACACAUUUCCCCCAAGCCCAUAUGCUAGCAUCACUCCUAGCCCUUAUGCAACUUCCAGUCCAGCCAGCCCGUAUGCUGUCAUGCCUCCCAGCCCCUAUGUUGCUUCCCCUGCCACCUCCAGUCCAGCCGGCCUCCCUGACCCCUAUCCUGCCCCCCAGAGCCAGACCCCUAGACCCAACUCCACUACCCAGCCUGUCCCUGUCUACCCUGGGGCUAGCCAGCCCACCAGUCCUGAGGUACAGCCAUAUCCAGCCAGCCUCCCUGACCCCUAUCCUUCCACCCAGGCCAAGACCGCAGGUAAAGACGGGGUUCCUCAUCAGAAGUCUCCAGCCGUCCCCAUCAACAAGGAACCUGCCAGGAAGUUUGCCCCGGUGGUGACCAGUCCUGCUCCCCCUGCUGCUGAGGUGGUGAAGUCAUCAGUGUUGCCUCAGGUAGACAUUGUACCCAGCAGUAACAUCAAGGAUAUCAUCAGACAGUACGACUCUCCUCCGCCCGUGACUGAUGCCCUACCGCCCGGCAAGAGGAGACCAGAGGGGAAGUUUAUGAAGAUGCAGAAUCCUCGUGAUGAA